GAGACACGUAGCCGCAGUGAAAGCGAGCCUGAAGAGGGCGCACAGUCAGUGGGGGUAGACGCGAAACCAAGUGAUCUACACUUGGCCAGGAUGAAGUCCCGGUAACACGGGAUGGAGGUCCGCACCAAUAAGCGUUGAAAAGCUUCUGGAUGAGCCGAGUGUAGGAGUGAAAGGCCAAUCAAACUUGGAGAUAGCUCGUACUCCCCGAAAGGCAUUUAGGUGCCGCGUCGGAUGGUCACCGUGAGAGGUAGAGCGACCGAUAGGACAAGAGGGCUUCACCGCCUAUCGAGUCCUGACGAACUCCGAAUGCUCACGGUUUGCAGUCCGGCAGUAAGGGGGCGGGUGCUAAGGUCCGUCCCCGAGAGGAGAAGAAUCCAGACCGCCGUCUAAGGUCCCGGAGUUCUGCCUGAGUUAGUCUAACGAAGUCUGGUCCCUAUGACAGCUAGGAUGUUGGCUUGGAAGCAGCCAUUCAUUCAAAGAGUGCGUAACAGCUCACUAGUCGAGGGUCCGGGCAUGGAUAAUAAUCGGGUAUAAGGCAGACACCGAAGGCGCGGGAUAGCAAUUUUAAAAGUAUCGGUAGGGGAGCAUACUCACAGCGUCGAAUGGUGUACGUAAGUUAUCCUGGAGCGGUGAGUAAAGCAAAUGUAGGAAUAAGUAACGAUAAGGAGGGUUAGAUUCCCUCCCGCUGUAAGACCAAGGUUUCCCGGGCAAUGCCAAUCAGCCCGGGGUCAGUCGGGUCCUAAGUCUAAGCCGAACGGCGAUGGCGAUGGCAGAGACGGUUAAUAUUCCGUCACUGCCGCAUGGGGCGAUGUGGAGACGGAGCAGUGAAACCACCGCGGGGCGACGGAAGUCCCCGUUGAAGGGUGUAGGUGUUGAGGAGAGCAGGCAAAUCCACUCUCCGAGCUGAACCUGACAGUACGGAGUCCUCCUCGGAGGAAUCUGAUAGUGUGGGUAAUCAUACUCCCGAGAAAAUCCGCUAAGCUUAACCCAUGCGGCACCCGUACCGCAAACGGACACACGUGGUCGGGUAGAACAUACUAAGGCGUUGAGAGAUUCAUGGUUAAGGAACUAGGCAAAUUGACCCUGUAACUUCGGGAUAAAGGGUCCUCGUGAUGAGCGAGGCGCAGAGAAUAGGUCCAGGCAACUGUUUAACAAAAACACAGGGCUGUGCAAACUCGAAAGAUGACGUAUACAGCCUGACACCUGCCCGGUGCCGGAAGGUUAAGAGGAGAUGUCACUCUAUGGGAGGAAGCAUUGAAUUGAAGCCCCGGUAAACGGCGGCCGUAACUAUAACGGUCCUAAGGUAGCGAAAUUCCUUGUCGGGUAAGUUCCGACCUG
RNAcentral lists this ribosomal RNA (1338 nucleotides) under human gut metagenome. RNAcentral describes it as "bacterial LSU rRNA". It matches the Rfam family "Bacterial large subunit ribosomal RNA", at positions 655 to 1990 of the family's 2925-position model. The record is from RNAcentral.